RNAcentral lists this ribosomal RNA (293 nucleotides) under Cytophaga sp. RNAcentral's name for it is "partial 16S ribosomal RNA". It matches the Rfam family "Bacterial small subunit ribosomal RNA", at positions 1170 to 1468 of the family's 1533-position model. The record is from RNAcentral. Lineage: Bacteria; Pseudomonadati; Bacteroidota; Cytophagia; Cytophagales; Cytophagaceae.
AAGGUGGGGAUGACGUCAAAUCAUCAUGGCCUUUAUGCCUAGGGCUACACACGUGCUACAAUGGCCAGAACAGAGGGUUGCGAAGCUGUGAGGUGGAGCUAAUCCCAUAAAUCUGGUCCCAGUUCGGAUUGGAGUCUGCAACUCGACUCCAUGAAGGUGGAAUCGCUAGUAAUCGCGCAUCAGCCAUGGCGCGGUGAAUACGUUCCCGGACCUUGUACACACCGCCUGUCAAGCCAUGGAAGCUGGGGGUACCUAAAGAUGGUGACUUUACGGGGAGCUAUCUAGGGUAAGAG